RNAcentral lists this long non-coding RNA (437 nucleotides) under Brassica napus (rape). RNAcentral describes it as "long non-coding RNA (BNAP_LNC006081)". Lineage: Eukaryota; Viridiplantae; Streptophyta; Magnoliopsida; Brassicales; Brassicaceae. The record is from RNAcentral.
UUCAAAAUCACCUUUGUUCAACCUGUCAGAACUCUGAAAACGAUAUGAUAACCUACCUGUUUGUUUUAUCAAAAAAAAACUACCUGUUAUUUUCCAACUUAUGGAGAAGUGAAUGAUUUUUUUCAAAAUAUUUUAUAACACUAUCAAACUCUUAAAAUAUCAAAGUGAAACAUAAACACAUUGCUACUAACUUGUUAAUAGCUUGAUAUCUUUCUAAUUGGUUUCAACAACACCAAGCUUAUGACAAUCCAAUUUACCUGAUAAAAAGCUGUAGAAUCGAAUAACGAACUUUCAGUUGUUUUUCAUUAAGAUUCUACAAAGUAUCCCAAAUAUAUAAAAAUAAUUUUAGAAAUGUAUUUUGUGGGAACCGAAAUUUCUCAAUCGAAAUUUAUAGUGGAAGAAAACGGUAAUGAUUUUGAUUCUCUACAUAACCACCU